GACGAACGCUGGCGGCGUGCCUAAUACAUGCCAGUUGAGCGCUGAAGGUUGGUACUUGUACCAACUGGAUGAGCAGCGAACGGGUGAGUAACGCGUGGGGAAUCUGCCUUUGAGCGGGGGACAACAUUUGGAAACGAAUGCUAAUACCGCAUAAAAACUUUAAACACAAGUUUUAAGUUUGAAGGAUGCAAUUGCAUCACUCAAAGAUGAUCCCGCGUUGUAUUAGCUAGUUGGUGAGGUAAAGGCUCACCAAGGCGAUGAUACAUAGCCGACCUGAGAGGGUGAUCGGCCACAUUGGGACUGAGACACGGCCCAAACUCCUACGGGAGGCAGCAGGAGGGAAUCUUCGGCAAUGGACGAAAGUCUGACCGAGCAACGCCGCGGGAGUGAAGAAGGUUUUCGGAUCGUAAAACUCUGUUGGUAGAGAAGAACGUUGGUGAGAGUGGAAAGCUCAUCAAGUGACGGUAACUACCCAGAAAGGGACGGCUAACUACGUG
Molecule: ribosomal RNA, 497 nt
Filed under: uncultured bacterium
Lineage: Bacteria
Description: partial 16S ribosomal RNA
Rfam family: Bacterial small subunit ribosomal RNA
Source: RNAcentral